Molecule: transfer RNA, 76 nt
Filed under: Staphylococcus equorum
Lineage: Bacteria; Bacillati; Bacillota; Bacilli; Caryophanales; Staphylococcaceae
Description: tRNA-Ala
Rfam family: tRNA
About the family: Transfer RNA (tRNA) molecules are approximately 80 nucleotides in length. Their secondary structure includes four short double-helical elements and three loops (D, anti-codon, and T loops).
Source: RNAcentral
GGGGGUUUAGCUCAGAUGGGAGAGCGCCUGCUUUGCACGCAGGAGGUCAGCGGUUCGAUCCCGCUAGUCUCCACCA